Caenorhabditis elegans is the source of this 142-nucleotide non-coding RNA. The record is from Ensembl. NCBI's taxonomy places the organism in Eukaryota, Metazoa, Nematoda, Chromadorea, Rhabditida, Rhabditidae.
AAAGUCAGUCGCUAAUGUGAAAAAGUUAAAAAUGUUUAGCAGCGGCAAGUAGUACGUACUUGCCUUCUUUUCUUGAAAGCGAAGUUUAUGAAUAAUUCGGAAGGCUCUCACAUUUCUUGUUCGGUUUUUUCUAGUUGCGUCU